UGCAACUAAAUUUUUUGAAUCUGAUGUGUGCAGAUCCAUAUAGUGAUAUGAUACUGGUUGAUGGUAUAACUCUCCUUUGCAAUGAUAUUCAGGUGGAUCCGCAAGAUAUCGUUAUGUCAGUUGUUGCAUGGCACAUGAAAGCUGCUACCAUGUGUGAAUUUUCCAAGCAGGAGUUUAUAGGUGGAUUACAAGGGCUAGGGGUCAGAAAUCUGUAACAUUGGAUAUAGUUAUUGGAAUGUGGCAAUUACUGUUUGCUGAAAAGAAGUGGCCAUUGGUUGAUCAUUGGUGCGAGUUCUUACAGGUAGCUUACCAUCCAUAUUUUGAUCUAAUGAGACUAAGUAGUGAAUUCUUGUGACCUAUGCUGAAAAGAAUUAUGUAGUUGGCAUCAUGUUGGGAUUAAGACAUUGUUAAGUGAGUUGCAAUAGGAAGUGAGAAGAAUUAUAUUGCUAAUUAUGUAUUUAUGUUUGUUAUUAAUUCAACCUUGAUGCCCUCUGGGGAUCUAUCUUCAGGUCUCUGUGAUGUUAUAAACAGCACAUAGGCAUCUAUGUCAUUGUUAGAUUUGUUUGUCUGUGUUUGUUUUUGUGUUGUUUUCAUCUUCUUUCAUUUUUCCCUUACCCCCCAAAAGGAUUCACUCAUUGUGAGACAAAAUGCCUGGGGGUUUUGGCAAAAAUCCUACCAACCACCAUGUCAACAUUGUUGGUAACUGCUAUUGUCAAUCAGGUUGGUGAAAUUUUGUCAAUGGUGGAAUGUGAUGGUUGGUGGGUGAACAGCUCUACACCUAGGCUCAUUGGCUAAUUUGCCUUCAUAAAUUAUUUAAUCCAAAAAUAGCUUGGUGGUUGGUUGUGUGAUUGGACUUUUUGUGAUUCUUGGUUUAGUUAGGCACCAGUGGUUAAUGCAUAUGACCUAUCUAAGCACAUGAUAAUAGAUAUACCUUUAGGUGCAGGCUUUAUUUUUCAUAAUGAUUACCUUGUGAAAUUUU
Long non-coding RNA from Quercus lobata, 979 nucleotides. RefSeq lists it as uncharacterized. The transcript is spliced from 4 exons. Lineage: Eukaryota; Viridiplantae; Streptophyta; Magnoliopsida; Fagales; Fagaceae. The record is from RefSeq and is a predicted model, not a curated record.